UAUGCCCCGCCGUAACCAGGCAAUCAAAUAACCAAUUGCCCGCCAAAUAACUACGAGUAAAAACUUAAAAUUUAAAAGACUUGACGGUACUUCACAACGACCUAGAGGAGCCUGUCUAAUAACCGAUAAUCCACGAUUAACCCCACCCGCUUUUGCCCAACAGUCUAUAUACCGCCGUCGCCAGCUUACCUUGUGAAAGAAGCAAAGCAAGCCAAAUAGUAUCACACUAACACGACAGGUCGAGGUGUAACAAAUAAGCAGGUCAAAGAUGGGCUACAUUUCCUAAAUCAGGAAAAACGAAUAAAGUAUGAAACAACAACCUGAAGGCGGAUUUAGCAGUAAGAUAAGGAUAGAACCCCUACCUGAAACACGCAAUGAAGUGCGUACACACCGCCCGUCAUCCCUGUAAAACAACAUAAAUAUACAUAAACAAAUACACAGCCCCAAAGCAGGGCAAGUC
This 460-nucleotide ribosomal RNA is filed under the name Cantoria violacea. Its description in RNAcentral is "partial 12S ribosomal RNA". The record is from RNAcentral. Lineage: Eukaryota; Metazoa; Chordata; Lepidosauria; Squamata; Homalopsidae.